GGGUUGUGAGGUUAAGCGACUAAGCGUACACGGUGGAUGCCCUGGCAGUCAGAGGCGAUGAAGGACGUGCUAAUCUGCGAUAAGCGUCGGUAAGGUGAUAUGAACCGUUAUAACCGGCGAUUUCCGAAUGGGGAAACCCAGUGUGUUUCGACACACUAUCAUUAACUGAAUCCAUAGGUUAAUGAGGCGAACCGGGGGAACUGAAACAUCUAAGUACCCCGAGGAAAAGAAAUCAACCGAGAUUCCCCCAGUAGCGGCGAGCGAACGGGGAGCAGCCCAGAGCCUGAAUCAGUGUGUGUGUUAGUGGAAGCGUCUGGAAAGGCGCGCGAUACAGGGUGACAGCCCCGUACACAAAAAUGCACAUGCUGUGAGCUCGAUGAGUAGGGCGGGACACGUGGUAUCCUGUCUGAAUAUGGGGGGACCAUCCUCCAAGGCUAAAUACUCCUGACUGACCGAUAGUGAACCAGUACCGUGAGGGAAAGGCGAAAAGAACCCCGGCGAGGGGAGUGAAAAAGAACCUGAAACCGUGUACGUACAAGCAGUGGGAGCACGCUUAGGCGUGUGACUGCGUACCUUUUGUAUAAUGGGUCAGCGACUUAUAUUCUGUAGCAAGGUUAACCGAAUAGGGGAGCCGAAGGGAAACCGAGUCUUAACUGGGCGUUAAGUUGCAGGGUAUAGACCCGAAACCCGGUGAUCUAGCCAUGGGCAGGUUGAAGGUUGGGUAACACUAACUGGAGGACCGAACCGACUAAUGUUGAAAAAUUAGCGGAUGACUUGUGGCUGGGGGUGAAAGGCCAAUCAAACCGGGAGAUAGCUGGUUCUCCCCGAAAGCUAUUUAGGUAGCGCCUCGUGAAUUCAUCUCCGGGGGUAGAGCACUGUUUCGGCAAGGGGGUCAUCCCGACUUACCAACCCGAUGCAAACUGCGAAUACCGGAGAAUGUUAUCACGGGAGACACACGGCGGGUGCUAACGUCCGUCGUGAAGAGGGAAACAACCCAGACCGCCAGCUAAGGUCCCAAAGUCAUGGUUAAGUGGGAAACGAUGUGGGAAGGCCCAGACAGCCAGGAUGUUGGCUUAGAAGCAGCCAUCAUUUAAAGAAAGCGUAAUAGCUCACUGGUCGAGUCGGCCUGCGCGGAAGAUGUAACGGGGCUAAACCAUGCACCGAAGCUGCGGCAGCGACGCUGAUGCGUUGUUGGGUAGGGGAGCGUUCUGUAAGCCUGUGAAGGUGUGCUGUGAGGCAUGCUGGAGGUAUCAGAAGUGCGAAUGCUGACAUAAGUAACGAUAAAGCGGGUGAAAAGCCCGCUCGCCGGAAGACCAAGGGUUCCUGUCCAACGUUAAUCGGGGCAGGGUGAGUCGACCCCUAAGGCGAGGCCGAAAGGCGUAGUCGAUGGGAAACAGGUUAAUAUUCCUGUACUUGGUGUUACUGCGAAGGGGGGACGGAGAAGGCUAUGUUGGCCGGGCGACGGUUGUCCCGGUUUAAGCGUGUAGGCUGGUUUUCCAGGCAAAUCCGGAAAAUCAAGGCUGAGGCGUGAUGACGAGGCACUACGGUGCUGAAGCAACAAAUGCCCUGCUUCCAGGAAAAGCCUCUAAGCAUCAGGUAACAUCAAAUCGUACCCCAAACCGACACAGGUGGUCAGGUAGAGAAUACCAAGGCGCUUGAGAGAACUCGGGUGAAGGAACUAGGCAAAAUGGUGCCGUAACUUCGGGAGAAGGCACGCUGAUAUGUAGGUGAAGCGACUUGCUCGUGGAGCUGAAAUCAGUCGAAGAUACCAGCUGGCUGCAACUGUUUAUUAAAAACACAGCACUGUGCAAACACGAAAGUGGACGUAUACGGUGUGACGCCUGCCCGGUGCCGGAAGGUUAAUUGAUGGGGUUAGCGGUAACGCGAAGCUCUUGAUCGAAGCCCCGGUAAACGGCGGCCGUAACUAUAACGGUCCUAAGGUAGCGAAAUUCCUUGUCGGGUAAGUUCCGACCUGCACGAAUGGCGUAAUGAUGGCCAGGCUGUCUCCACCCGAGACUCAGUGAAAUUGAACUCGCUGUGAAGAUGCAGUGUACCCGCGGCAAGACGGAAAGACCCCGUGAACCUUUACUAUAGCUUGACACUGAACAUUGAGCCUUGAUGUGUAGGAUAGGUGGGAGGCUUUGAAGUGUGGACGCCAGUCUGCAUGGAGCCGACCUUGAAAUACCACCCUUUAAUGUUUGAUGUUCUAACGUUGACCCGUAAUCCGGGUUGCGGACAGUGUCUGGUGGGUAGUUUGACUGGGGCGGUCUCCUCCUAAAGAGUAACGGAGGAGCACGAAGGUUGGCUAAUCCUGGUCGGACAUCAGGAGGUUAGUGCAAUGGCAUAAGCCAGCUUGACUGCGAGCGUGACGGCGCGAGCAGGUGCGAAAGCAGGUCAUAGUGAUCCGGUGGUUCUGAAUGGAAGGGCCAUCGCUCAACGGAUAAAAGGUACUCCGGGGAUAACAGGCUGAUACCGCCCAAGAGUUCAUAUCGACGGCGGUGUUUGGCACCUCGAUGUCGGCUCAUCACAUCCUGGGGCUGAAGUAGGUCCCAAGGGUAUGGCUGUUCGCCAUUUAAAGUGGUACGCGAGCUGGGUUUAGAACGUCGUGAGACAGUUCGGUCCCUAUCUGCCGUGGGCGCUGGAGAACUGAGGGGGGCUGCUCCUAGUACGAGAGGACCGGAGUGGACGCAUCACUGGUGUUCGGGUUGUCAUGCCAAUGGCACUGCCCGGUAGCUAAAUGCGGAAGAGAUAAGUGCUGAAAGCAUCUAAGCACGAAACUUGCCCCGAGAUGAGUUCUCCCUGACUCCUUGAGAGUCCUGAAGGAACGUUGAAGACGACGACGUUGAUAGGCCGGGUGUGUAAGCGCAGCGAUGCGUUGAGCUAACCGGUACUAAUGAACCGUGAGGCUUAACCUUACAACGCCGAAGGUGUUU
Molecule: ribosomal RNA, 2933 nt
Filed under: Escherichia coli
Lineage: Bacteria; Pseudomonadati; Pseudomonadota; Gammaproteobacteria; Enterobacterales; Enterobacteriaceae
Description: 23S ribosomal RNA
Rfam family: Bacterial large subunit ribosomal RNA
Source: RNAcentral